UUAUUACAUAUAAAUUUGUACAGGUUUCCUAACCUAAUCCCAUUGUCACCGCCAAACUAGCUCUUGCACCUGAAAAUUGUUGUCCAUCGCCAUCUAAAGCUAAGUGUUGCUGCUCUUGUGGAUUAUCAAUCAUCUGUCAUAGUUUAUUCCUACUUUUACCCUUGUUAGCUCUCAAAAUUGAUAGAUUUUUCUGCUCUUGCUGUUCCAACUUUUUUAACAUCUCUUUGUGCAGAUGUAUUCUUUGAUGUAUAAGCUGAAGAUCUUCUUGAUUUGUUGUUUUAAAGGAAUAUUCAUGGCUAUUAUUUGAAAUCUGAGUAGUAAUUAAGCUCCUGAGAAGCUCGGAUCCACAUGUAAUCCAGGUUUUCCACACUCUAGCAUCUACGUUGACCUUCCUCCUUGGCUGGAUUUUUUCUAUUUUGACUUCAAGGAUAGAUCUAGAACAAUCAUUGCUCAGUUUGUCAAUUAUAUGUAUUAUGCUGUAGCUAUUUGCAAACCUUAAAUAGAUUUUCUCCGUUACUCUCUUAAAGCUCUUAUCCUAAUAUAUAGACAUUGUAAUUUAUCAUUA
This is a long non-coding RNA of Capsicum annuum, 565 nucleotides long. RefSeq lists it as uncharacterized. The transcript is spliced from 2 exons. The record is from RefSeq and is a predicted model, not a curated record. NCBI's taxonomy places the organism in Eukaryota, Viridiplantae, Streptophyta, Magnoliopsida, Solanales, Solanaceae.